RNAcentral lists this transfer RNA (65 nucleotides) under Dipodomys ordii (Ord's kangaroo rat). It matches the Rfam family "tRNA". From Rfam's summary of the family: Transfer RNA (tRNA) molecules are approximately 80 nucleotides in length. Their secondary structure includes four short double-helical elements and three loops (D, anti-codon, and T loops). The record is from Rfam by way of RNAcentral. Lineage: Eukaryota; Metazoa; Chordata; Mammalia; Rodentia; Heteromyidae.
GGUGACUCAGUGGUAGAGCACUUGCCUUGCAUGCAUGAGGCCCUGGGUUCAAUUCCCUAGCACCA